Molecule: long non-coding RNA, 684 nt
Filed under: Zonotrichia albicollis (white-throated sparrow)
Lineage: Eukaryota; Metazoa; Chordata; Aves; Passeriformes; Passerellidae
Description: lncRNA (ENSZALG00000002383.1)
Source: RNAcentral
CUAUGCUAAAGAAUAGAAGUAAUGAUUUAAUCAGAAGGCUAGCAAGGAAUAGAAAGGAUUGGUAAUAAAAUCUUGUGACUGCUCACAGCCUCGACACAGGCGGCUGUCAUUGGUCAUCAAGUAAAAACAAUUCACAUGCUGGGUAAACAAAUCUCUAAGUCACAUUCCAAAGCAGCGAAACAUGGAGAAGCUGAAGCUUCUCAGGGAAAAGGAUCCAAACAAAAGGAUUUUUCAUAAAAUAUACCUGUGACAUUUGCUAUUGGUUGUUUUGGUUUUUGGUUGUUUUUUUGUAAUGCCUCUUACUUGUCAUAACCCUGUGAUGCAUUAUGAAUAAUGCACUCCUUGUAAAAAAUGGCUUUUUUGCAGUGAGGGUGCAAUGCUUUCUUUCUAAUCUCCAGUUUCAUUCUUUGAUUUGAAAAUGCAGGUUUUAGAGACUCCACUCAAGAAGAUGGAUACGGCAGCGCAGUGGUGCAGUUCAAUUUUGGAUUUUGCCUUUAUUGGGAUGUUGCAGAGCAGCACCACUGACCCAUGGAUUGUACCUGACAGUGUUUUAACUGCCACUGGGGCCACCAGACUUGCUGGGAACUGGGAAUCUCCAAAGCCAGGUAGGAGAGAACAAGCAAACUGGAAAUCUCCAAAGCCAGGUGGGAGAGAACGAAUAAACUGGGAAUCUCCAAAGCCAGG